AAUGAACGCUGGCGGCAGGCCUAACACAUGCAAGUCGAACGGAUCCUUCGGGAUUAGUGGCGGACGGGUGAGCAACGCGUGGGAACAUACCCAAAGGUACGGAAUAGCCUCGGGAAACUGGGAGUAAUACCGUAUGUGCUCGAAAGAGGAAAGAUUUAUCGCCUUUGGAUUGGCCCGCGUUGGAUUAGGUAGUUGGUGGGGUAAUGGCCUACCAAGCCGACGAUCCAUAGCUGGUUUGAGAGGAUGAUCAGCCACACUGGGACUGAGACACGGCCCAGACUCCUACGGGAGGCAGCAGUGGGGAAUCUUAGACAAUGGGGGAAACCCUGAUCUAGCCAUGCCGCGUGAUCGAUGAAGGCCUUAGGGUUGUAAAGAUCCUUCAGGUGGGAAGAUAAUGACUGUACCACCAGAAGAAGCCCCGGCUAACUCCGUGCCAGCCGCCGCUGUAA
Molecule: ribosomal RNA, 449 nt
Filed under: uncultured bacterium
Lineage: Bacteria
Description: partial 16S ribosomal RNA
Rfam family: Bacterial small subunit ribosomal RNA
Source: RNAcentral